Molecule: ribosomal RNA, 253 nt
Filed under: uncultured bacterium
Lineage: Bacteria
Description: partial 16S ribosomal RNA
Rfam family: Bacterial small subunit ribosomal RNA
Source: RNAcentral
UACGUAGGGUGCAAGCGUUGUCCGGAAUUAUUGGGCGUAAAGAGCUCGUAGGCGGUCUGUCGCGUCUGCUGUGAAAUCUCAGGGCUUAACUCUGAGCUUGCAGUGGGUACGGGCAGACUAGAGUGCGGUAGGGGAGACUGGAAUUCCUGGUGUAGCGGUGAAAUGCGCAGAUAUCAGGAGGAACACCGGUGGCGAAGGCGGGUCUCUGGGCCGUAACUGACGCUGAGGAGCGAAAGCAUGGGGAGCGAACAGG